GAAAAUACAACUAAAGAGAAUGCUUUGUGACCAAAACAAAAGGAUCUCCCAUGGGUACAGAUGGCAACAUCACGGUACUUAAAAUAGCAUUCAGAGACUACCAUUGUAGACCAGGAUUUACACUACAGACAAAGAUUUCUUAAAAACGAUAUAGUCUUUCAAAUUAAUGUAUCUGGCUGCCUUUCUUCAGCACUGCUGCUUCACCUGCAGCACAUCAGACAAGAGGUGUUCACGCUGGAAUAUGCACCUGAAACAGUGCACUGUGCCAUGCGAUGGAUUCAGAUGAGUGCACACGGAACUUUUUAAGAAAGCCAAGGAAGUAAUUUUCAAGGCCUGAGCCACCAUGAAAGGUGGUGGAAGAUACAGGCUUUAAAGGAGGGAUAAAACUGAGAGCGGAAGAAGAGUGAAGGUAAGGGGAAGCAUUGGACAAAAUGAUGGGUGAAACAUUGAGAAAAGAUCUAGCUGUUUAUCCUUUUCAUUUACGGAGGUAACAGGAGACCAGGCUGGAAAACUAAGGAUUGUAUUGGGAAGGUACAUGAAUGCCCGGCUCGGAGUCAGGACACUGUACUCUGGAGGGCCCUGCUCAGUACAGGGCCCACCACUUGCAUCCAGCUUCUGAGCACCUGAAAUGCAUCGAGGCCACACUGGGGCGUGCGGUUUUCAGGCAAAGUACAGACCAGCUUUUGAAGACUCCAGAGGAAAA
Long non-coding RNA from Heterocephalus glaber (naked mole-rat), 703 nucleotides. NCBI's taxonomy places the organism in Eukaryota, Metazoa, Chordata, Mammalia, Rodentia, Bathyergidae. The record is from Ensembl.